GAUGUAAAUUAUGUGGAGCAGAAUGAAGAUGUAAAUAGUGUAAUGCCCUCUUUUAUUUUUGGGAAUUUGAAGGAUGUAUCCUUGAUUCAAGCACCCAAAAAAAGUGUGCGGAGGGAUUCUCCUCAAUCACUCAAUGAAGGUGUGCCUGAAGAGGUUCCAGCAACUGCAAGUGUCCCUGUAACAAAUGAAAAUUAUGUUACAGAGAGUGUUUCAGGAAAAGCACAGUUUCCAGCAGUAUUUAAUUCAUCGAGUAAAACUGAAAUUUUGGAUGCAGAGCCACUAGUGUUUGAAACUCCAAAAUCAAAUAAAAAAAACGAAAUGCUUCAAAGCGCAAAGAAAGAUGAAUCUUUGAGCGAUUCUGAGCUCAUUAUAGAUGCAAUGAAAAGGAAAAGUAGUGUAAACAUUGAGUCUGAAGCACCAAAAUCUCUAAAAAAAAAGCAACACUAUCAGUCUGACAGCGAACUGAGCGUCAGCCACGCCCUAAACCGAUGUGUCCCUGAUAAAGUCUUGCUACAGGCCGUUAUGAAAUCACAGCUGUUGCGAGCAUCAGGCUCAAGCACUGGAGCCAAUUCCAGUUUCUCUCAGUCUGGCCAUCAGGAGACUUAUUGUGGUGACGAUUCUAAUAGUGCCCAAGGCUCCGGAGCUAAAGUCUCUGAUAGUUCAAGUAGCUCUACAAAUAAUCAUCGAGCAAGUCAUGCUGUAUUUGAGUCGUUUGGUGAAGCAUCUCCUUUGACCUCUGCUGAAACAUACAGAACUGAAGCAUUUAAAGAGAAUCGCCGUUCUGCAGUAGAAAAACGAAAAUCUAAGUUGACAACAGUGCCCUCUCUUGAACUUAUCUCAGAAGUACCUGAGACACACCCUGCUGACUGUUCGCACGAGCUUGCCCAAGAUACAAACAGCAGAGUCUUUGAACAACCCGAAUUGGAGUCUAGUCCAUCUGUCAGACGCAGUUCAUUUUUACCGAAAGUGUUCACAAGUGUCGAUUCUCUUAUUCAGGAUGAAGCAAUGUCAAAUACCAAUAUUCCACCUAAAAAAAGGCGCAGUAUUCUCAACUUAUCAAAGCUGAAAAAGCCAAGGGAAAGCGCACCAUUCAAGUCCCGGUCGCGGUGUUCAAAUUAUAAGUUCGCUGAGUUAGAUGUUUGUAAUUCAGAUGAGUCAUUCCAAGAAGAUUUAAUCACUGAUAGGACUAAACAAAAAGCGGCUAACAUUCCAGACACUCGUUUACCUGAAACCCCAAUCAAAACUUCUGAGACUGUCCAUCCUUCAGAGUUGAAUGAAAGUGCUACAGAGGAAAAACUCAACGACUCUAUUGCCUCAAGAGUAAGUCAGCGCCGAACGAGACGUCAAUCCAUGGAAAGUUAUGCCUCCAGUACUGAUUUUGAAGGGUCGAACUUAAAUGAAAGCAUUGUCAGCACGGCUAACUCUGUUAAGGCAAGAUCAUCAUCUAUUGAGAGUCUUCCAGAAUCAGGAACGACCGAUGUGUCUGUAAGCUCACAAAGCUCUCGCUAUAAGAGAGUUUCUAUCCGAAAUCGCUCAAUGUCGCUCUACACUACUAAAGAAUUGCAGAAAAACUCACUUAAACGUCGUUAUAGUGAAUUAGAUGUAAUAGAGUCAGAAGAGGAAGGUGGUCUAAAGGAUUCAAGCCCAGCAGCCGAAACCACUGGUGAACUUCUCAUUACCACUCGUAGAGCGCGAAGCAGGAACUCCAAUCAGAGUGAAAUUUCAGAAAGUAAGAAGUUUUUGCCUGAUGUCAAAGAGGACGAAUUGGUAGUUGAAAAGCCUGGAUCAAGAAUUUCAAAAGCAAGAAGUAAGAAGGGAGUGAAUAGCACAAAAAGCAAUAGAAAUGAGUCCAUCAGAGGCUCAACAGAAUCCGAGCAGCAGGCAAGUCGUCCCACCAUGCGCACUGAAACAUCCAUCAGCAAUGUAAGAACUCAGGAACCAGAAGAAUAUGUAACAAAUCGCAGACUGACUCGUCGCCAAAAUGCAUUGCUGAAGAAAAUGGAAGAGUCAAGCUCUACCUCUCUGGCUGUUCAUUCCCCUGUGACAAGAUCCCGGAGGUCUGUCGACCGUAAUACAACACCAACACCUAUCAAAUCAACCCGGAGAACUCGAAAUACUUCACCUAGCAACUCUAUAGCCUCUCAAGGUUCAAGAGGCAGUUCAAGAAUUUGA
This 2172-nucleotide long non-coding RNA is filed under the name Bemisia tabaci. Its description in RNAcentral is "lncRNA ENSSSA1UGG001959". Lineage: Eukaryota; Metazoa; Arthropoda; Insecta; Hemiptera; Aleyrodidae. The record is from RNAcentral.